Non-coding RNA from Cordylochernes scorpioides, 81 nucleotides. The record is from the annotation of a GenBank genome assembly. NCBI's taxonomy places the organism in Eukaryota, Metazoa, Arthropoda, Arachnida, Pseudoscorpiones, Chernetidae.
CCCUGGGGGGUUCGGUGGAAGGCUGGUAAAAACCGUUGGUUUUCGACCACUACGACCCGGGUUCGAUUCCCGCAUUGGGCA